AUGCUUCAUCAUUCAAACAGUCGCCAGCAGAGGAACAGAGGAUCAAAAAUCAAAACAUUACUCAAGGUCACCUUGCUCUUAGGUGUGGCUGUUUGGCUUGCGUAUCAGGUGAAGCAUUCUUAUGAUAAGAAAAAUGAGUACUACAAUGCUACCGAGGACCAGCUUUCCCAUGAUGAUAGAAGCAUGUUCCAGGGCAGGAAAGAAAGGCUAGGUACUAAUGGUGAUGGUAAUGUGGAGAAGGCCAUAGAGACAACUGAUGUAAUAGGCAAACAAGAGGAAGAGAAGAGUGGAGAAAGUGUCUUUGAGAAAGACAAUACUGACUCCCAUGAUGAUGAUUCGGGAAACACGGAGAGGUCAGAAGCUGAAGAAGGGCAAGCCAGUCGCGCAGAUGAUAAUGCAGAAGCACAUCGUAAUGAAACAUCUGAAUCCAACUCAUCUGAUGCUGAGACUAAAACUGAUGUCCAUUCAACUGGAGAUGAUGUACCCCAUGAAGAAGAGGCGCAAAGUGAUGGAUCCGCUAAUGCAGGUCAGAUCGAUGCAAGCGGCAAUGGUUCAGAUGGAGAGCAAGCUGAGAAAAAGGGGGCAGUGGAGUCUCAAGCUGACUCUGAGUCCCUCUCUGAAGAUACCAAGGCUGGAACAGGUGACGAGCAUUCCGCUGAGACUCUUCCAGAUGAAACAGGCAACAUACCAGCGGUUCAUAAUGCAAAUCCUCAAGGCGAUGCAGCUUCCAGUACAUCCGAUGCUUAUGGGCAUAGCAACAGUGAGACUGUUCAUGUAGAGAUUGGGUCUGAACAUGAAGGGGCAAGAACAUCAUCUGUGACCACAUCUGGCGAUGCUGAGAAGGGUAAUUCUGUGGAGACUAAUCCAUCUGAUAGCAUCUCAGCAGAAGAAAAGGCUGGUGGUGAUGGCGAGAAGGGUUCAGAAACGAGUACAGCUAACGAGGCGUCAGGUGCCAAGGAAGCAAACCCUGAGGAAGGCAAUGCUGCAGCAGAAGUUCGCGCUGACCAGGCUGCAAAUACGCAGACAGAGAACUCCGAUGGAGCCUCUGCUGCUGCUGAAGGAGCAAAUGGUGGUUCUCUGGAAGAGGCAAAGGCUGUGGAGAACCAGAUUGAUGGAGCUACAAAAGCGUCAAGCAAUGGUGAUCAGGACGAUAUCAAGAUUGAAACCAACACAUCAACCAGUGACGUGCACAAUGAACAUCAGAGCGUCGAUGCCAGUUCUGGGUCGAUCGGCUCAAAUGACACUGGCCCUGAACAAACUGGAAAAACUGAAACCCAGUGA
RNAcentral lists this ribosomal RNA (1281 nucleotides) under Triticum aestivum (bread wheat). Its description in RNAcentral is "partial small subunit ribosomal RNA". Lineage: Eukaryota; Viridiplantae; Streptophyta; Magnoliopsida; Poales; Poaceae. The record is from RNAcentral.